Molecule: long non-coding RNA, 217 nt
Filed under: Ananas comosus (pineapple)
Lineage: Eukaryota; Viridiplantae; Streptophyta; Magnoliopsida; Poales; Bromeliaceae
Description: long non-coding RNA (ACOM_LNC018909)
Source: RNAcentral
AGAGAUAGGUAGCACGUUACUCACUUCGUUUAUUUUAUUUAAAAAUAAACUUAGCUAGAAAUAUGAAUCAACUAGGAUUCGAACUUGGAUCUCAAGUACCAACCACCAAACCGUUUGUCACUUGCUUUAGGGACGGUCGGUUAUAUCUUAUUUUUAGUUACUUAAAAAAAUUAUAUCCUGUAUUUGGGAGAUAAAAAUAUAAUCGUGUGUUUAGAAU